Molecule: transfer RNA, 73 nt
Filed under: Cornufer vitianus (Fiji ground frog)
Lineage: Eukaryota; Metazoa; Chordata; Amphibia; Anura; Ceratobatrachidae
Description: Platymantis vitianus (Fiji ground frog) tRNA-Leu
Rfam family: tRNA
About the family: Transfer RNA (tRNA) molecules are approximately 80 nucleotides in length.
Source: RNAcentral
GCUGAUGUAGCAUAAUUUGGUAAUGCAAAAGACCUAAACUCUUUUACCGAGGGUUCAAACCCCCCCAUCACCU